Molecule: ribosomal RNA, 497 nt
Filed under: uncultured bacterium
Lineage: Bacteria
Description: partial 16S ribosomal RNA
Rfam family: Bacterial small subunit ribosomal RNA
Source: RNAcentral
GAUGAACGCUGGCGGCGUGCCUAAUACAUGCAAGUCGAGCGAACAGACUAGGAGCUUGCUCCUCUGACGUUAGCGGCGGACGGGUGAUUAACACGUGGAUAACCUACCUAUAAGACUGGGAUAACUUCGGGAAACCGGAGCUAAUACCGGAUAAUAUAUUGAACCGCAUGGUUCAAUAGUGAAAGACGGUUUUGCUGUCACUUAUAGAUGGAUCUGCGCCACAUUAGCUAGUUGGUAAGGUAACGGCUUACCAAGGCGACGAUGCGUAGCCGACCUGAGAGGGUGAUCGGCCACACUGGCACUAAGACACGGUCCAGACUCAUACGAGAGGCAGCAGUAGGGAAUCUUCCGCAAUAGGCGAAAGCCUGACGGAGCAACGCCGCGUGAGUGAUGAAGGUCUUCGGAUCGUAAAACUCUGUUAUUAGGGAAGAACAAAUGUGUAAGUAACUAUGCACGUCUUGACGGUACCUAAUCAGAAAGCCACGGAUAACUACGUG